AAGUAUGUAAAGAAGCUAAAUUUUUAAACCCGGUCACUUAUAUACAUUUUACGCAAAAUGUUACUGUUUUUUUUCAUGUAUCGUACAAGAAUCAUAAGAUCGGUCAUGCAAGUUGAAAUAACAUAUUUGGAUAUGUUCUAAAUUCACUUAACUUAUGGAAAGAGAAAUUUGAACUCGAAUGUUCAAGAUUUCUUUGCAUAAGCAAAUAUCAUAAGAUCGACCGUGCAAGUCGAAACAACAUAUUUUACAAGUAUGAUUAAUAUAAAAAUCAAUGAACAAACUAUAUCUAAAACUAAAAUACAGAGUUGACAACACAUUUUAUAAUUUAAUAGAAAACUAUCAGAAAUCAAAACAUGUUGGUAUCGACAUAAGUUAGGUGCACACUUUGAAAAAAAGAUUAUAUCGAAAAUUAUAAUCUUUAUAUUUUCAAUUUUAACUUUGAUCUUUAUAUUACGACCAUGGGAUUUUUAUCAAACGGCACAUUCCGAGAUCGCAUACAUAAAAAAUCGUAAAAAACAAACAUUCAGACAUUACGUAAUGGAACAAAAGUUUUCGACGGUUAUAAACAAAAAAUCACAAUUUAACGGUUAUUUUAGCUCCGAUUUUGAUGAUUUUUUACAGAUACACUCCUCGACCCUAUAAGAAUGUAAUGAAUAAAUUUGAUCUUUAAUUUAAAGUAUUUACACUAGUAGAUACCACAAAAACUUAUUUUAUACUUAAUAGAAGUAUAAUAUUAACUCUAAGUGUUUGUUUAAUCUACUGUUUUGACGCAAUAUGCAUUCUACGAAACUUUGUUCAACGAUCCAACCGUCAAACUUAUUUGUACACAUUCCGAGAUCGCAUACAUAAAAAAUCGUAAAAAACAAACAUUCAGACAUUACGUAACGGAACAAAAGUUUUCGACGGUUAUAAACGAAAAAUCACAAUUUAACGGUUAUUUUAGCUCCGAUUUUGAUGAUUUUUUACAGAUACACUCCUCGACCCUAUAAGAAUGUAAUGAAUAAAUUUGAUCUUUAAUUUAAAGUAUUUACUUUUUUUAUAUAUGAGUGAUUGUAUAUAUAUUUUUUUACAUUUUUUACACUUCUACAAUAAUUAUUAUUAAUUUU
Molecule: long non-coding RNA, 1106 nt
Filed under: Malus domestica (apple)
Lineage: Eukaryota; Viridiplantae; Streptophyta; Magnoliopsida; Rosales; Rosaceae
Description: long non-coding RNA (MDOM_LNC020628)
Source: RNAcentral